Molecule: ribosomal RNA, 722 nt
Filed under: Streptomyces sp. YIM 64583
Lineage: Bacteria; Bacillati; Actinomycetota; Actinomycetes; Kitasatosporales; Streptomycetaceae
Description: bacterial SSU rRNA
Rfam family: Bacterial small subunit ribosomal RNA
Source: RNAcentral
GCAAUCUGCCCUGCACUCUGGGAUAAACCCGGGAAACUGGGUCUAAUACCGGAUACGACACUCCGAGGCAUCUUGGGGUGUGGAAAGUUCCGGCGGUGCAGGAUGAGCCCGCGGCCUAUCAGCUUGUUGGUGGGGUAAUGGCCUACCAAGGCGACGACGGGUAGCCGGCCUGAGAGGGUGACCGGCCACACUGGGACUGAGACACGGCCCAGACUCCUACGGGAGGCAGCAGUGGGGAAUAUUGCACAAUGGGCGAAAGCCUGAUGCAGCGACGCCGCGUGAGGGAUGACGGCCUUCGGGUUGUAAACCUCUUUCAGCAGGGAAGAAGCGAAAGUGACGGUACCUGCAGAAGAAGCACCGGCUAACUACGUGCCAGCAGCCGCGGUAAUACGUAGGGUGCGAGCGUUGUCCGGAAUUAUUGGGCGUAAAGAGCUCGUAGGCGGUUUGUCGCGUCGAUUGUGAAAGCCCGGGGCUUAACCCUGGGUCUGCAGUCGAUACGGGCAGGCUAGAGUUCGGCAGGGGAGACUGGAAUUCCUGGUGUAGCGGUGAAAUGCGCAGAUAUCAGGAGGAACACCGGUGGCGAAGGCGGGUCUCUGGGCCGAUACUGACGCUGAGGAGCGAAAGCGUGGGGAGCGAACAGGAUUAGAUACCCUGGUAGUCCACGCCGUAAACGGUGGGCACUAGGUGUGGGCAACAUUCCACGUUGUCCGUGCCGCAGCUAA